AUAACAUUCGGAAACGAUGCUAUACCGCAUUCUCGACCGCAUGGUUCUUGAACGAAAGACGGCUUCGGCUGUCGCUCUUAGAUGAUCCGCGGCGUAUUAGUUAGUUGGUGGGGUAAAGGCCUACCAAGACAAUGAUACGUAGCCGACCUGAGAGGGUGAUCGGCCACACUGGGACUGAGACACGGCCCAGACUCCUACGGGAGGCAGCAGUAGGGAAUCUUCCACAAUGGACGAAAGUCUGAUGGAGCAAUGCCGCGUGAAUGAAGAAGGUCUUCGGAUCGUAAAGUUCUGUUAUUAGAGAAGAACAAGUCGAGGAGUAAC
Molecule: ribosomal RNA, 321 nt
Filed under: uncultured bacterium
Lineage: Bacteria
Description: bacterial SSU rRNA
Rfam family: Bacterial small subunit ribosomal RNA
Source: RNAcentral